This 749-nucleotide long non-coding RNA is filed under the name Helianthus annuus (common sunflower). The record is from RNAcentral. Lineage: Eukaryota; Viridiplantae; Streptophyta; Magnoliopsida; Asterales; Asteraceae.
CACAAGAGUGUGUGUCUGGUUGUUCAAACACAGGGGGCGACACAAGGGAUCCCACAAACCCUAGUUCUUCCAAAAAUCCACCAAAUUGAGAGCUCAAAUUCGUUCUAAAUCAAGUCUCAAACACAAAUUCGUGAUCUCCAUUGAAAGGGGAGUCAUAAGUUUGACUCUUGACGAGCUAGGUGAAGCUUGGAGGAGAUGAUCAAACGGGAUAAAGGCACGAGUAAGACUUGCUUGGAUGAAAGGAACGAAUAGAAAUUUGGAUAAUUGCGUCAUCAUAGAAUAUUGAACUAAUAAUAGCAAGGCAUAAACGGGUCUAUACGUUGACUCGAGCCAGGUACGCUUAUAUAUAGAUUUAUAGUUAAAAGUGCUUAACUUCCCUUCACGGGUCAAAAGGAGUAGAUAGGUAAAACGGGUUAAGAAUUCAUAAGAAACCCGUAAUUUGAACCUUGCACAUUAGUAAAUUGAUAUAACGUGAUAUGCAUGAUAUUUUGAAAAGCUUGGAGGAGAUGAUCAAACGGGAUAAAGGCACGAGUAAGACUUGCUUGGAUGAAAGGUACAUUUUGGAUGCCGGAAGACGAUCAAGCUCAACGAAGAACCGAACACGAUAAUGAUACAUGCUUCCGCACAUUGCCUCAUCGUAAAUUUUAAACGACGAUUUCGAUCACGCUAUGUUGAAUAACUUAUGAUUUGUAAAAGUUUUAAUAAACCCGUAUUUUUAUAGUAUGUGUAGUCUUAACUACACAUCUAAU